GAUUUUCUUUUGAUAGAA
RNAcentral lists this transfer RNA (18 nucleotides) under Pectinoctenus nemorosus. Its description in RNAcentral is "partial tRNA-Leu". The record is from RNAcentral. Lineage: Eukaryota; Metazoa; Arthropoda; Insecta; Siphonaptera; Leptopsyllidae.